This 253-nucleotide ribosomal RNA is filed under the name uncultured bacterium. Its description in RNAcentral is "partial 16S ribosomal RNA". It matches the Rfam family "Bacterial small subunit ribosomal RNA", at positions 524 to 776 of the family's 1533-position model. The record is from RNAcentral.
UACGAAGGGGGCUAGCGUUGUUCGGAAUCACUGGGCGUAAAGGGCGCGUAGGCGGCUUGAUAAGUCGGGGGUGAAAGCCUGUGGCUCAACCACAGAAUUGCCUUCGAUACUGUCUGGCUUGAGACCGGAAGAGGUAAGUGGAACUGCGAGUGUAGAGGUGAAAUUCGUAGAUAUUCGCAAGAACACCAGUGGCGAAGGCGGCCAACUGGUCCGGUACUGACGCUGAGGUGCGAAAGCGUGGGGAGCAAACAGG